RNAcentral lists this ribosomal RNA (1794 nucleotides) under Triticum aestivum (bread wheat). RNAcentral describes it as "partial small subunit ribosomal RNA". The record is from RNAcentral. Lineage: Eukaryota; Viridiplantae; Streptophyta; Magnoliopsida; Poales; Poaceae.
AUGGCGACCGCGGGCGAGAACUCGGCCGCCGAGCUGCUGCUCCGCGCGGCGGCGCUGGUGCCGCUCGACCGCUACGCGCUCGCCGCCCUCGUCCUCGCCGCCGCCUUCCUCUACCGCUUCCUCGAGCUCCACGUCCUCGGCGACCUGCUCCGCGGCCUCCGCGGCGGCCGCGUCGCCCUCACCUUCCACCCGGACUCCCAGGUCUACCACCGCGUCGCCUCCAAGUGCCGCUCCCUCCACGGCAGGUACCUGGCGACGCCGUGGCUGGCGAGCCCUCAUCUGCAGACGCUGUUCCUGGGCAUCUGGGGAAGGCCGCCUUCGGUCACGUAUAGAAGGCAGCUGUACACAGUUCGUGAUGGUGGAACCAUUGCUUUGGAUUGGCUACUAGCCUCUGACUGGGAAGCUGCAGAUGGUAGUUCUUGUGAUGGAACUAUUUCUAGUGAUGAUUCAACACCCAUUGUUGUUGUGGUGCCUGGAUUAACUAGUGAUUCUACUGCCGCUUAUGUGAAACACUUGGUCUUUUCUAUGGCGAGCAAUGGAUGGAAUGUUGUUGUAGGCAAUCACAGGGGUCUGGGCGGCAUCUCCAUAACAUCCGAUUGCUUUUACAAUGGCGGAUGGACAGAAGAUAUUCGUGAAGUUGUUAAUUACCUUCAUCAAAAGUACCCAGAGGCUCCACUAUUCACUGUUGGGACAAGCUUAGGCGCCAAUAUUCUGGUCAAGUAUCUGGGAGAAGAGGGUGAAAGUAUUCCUAUAGCUGGUGCUGCAUCUAUUUGUUCACCCUGGGAUCUUCUGGUGACUAGCAGAUUUAUUUCUCGCAAGCUAGUGCAGCGUUGUUACGAUAAAGCUCUUGCAAUUGGUCUCAAAGGAUAUGCAAAACUACAUCAACCAGUCUUGGCACGACUUGCAAACUGGGAAGCUAUUACGUCGUCACGCUCUACCAGGGAAUUUGACCAUCAUGCAACUUGUGUUGUUGCAAAGUACGAGACAGUGGACACAUUCUACCGCAAGUGCAGCUGUGCAAACUAUAUUGGUAAUGUGUCUGUUCCGUUGCUUUGUAUCAGUGCUUUAGAUGACCCCCUUUGCACAAGGGAGGCCAUUCCCUGGGAUGAAUGCAGGGCAAAUAAGAAUAUUGUUUUGGCAACUACACCUAAUGGUGGCCAUCUUGGUUUUUUUCAAGGCCUAACUGCUGGAAGACUAUGGUGGGUGGAACCUGUCUCCGAGUUUUUCUCUGCUCUACAUGAUAGUCCUUGCAUGCAUCGACAGAAGCUCAAUAAUAUUUGCAUGCAGACUCAAGAGCAUGGAUUGCAAUCUCCGCUGGAAUCAUCCAUCGAUAAGGGACCGUAUGUUAAUCUCAUGGAAGAUGGAAUGGUAGCUGCAGUGACAAACGAGGAUACCAACACUCACGAAUCCUUGGAUAAGCAUAAUCAGGCUGUCAGUGAAAUGGAAGGCAGUGAUGUUAAUGUACAACAGAAUGGGAUCACCAGUGUGUUACAGGAUGAGAGUCACAGUGCGGUGAAGAACACAAGCGGCACAGAGGAUAAUGUACCGUCUGCCCAAGGCCCUGUAGGGUCACAAGAGCAGAGAGAAGAGCUCUCCACAGAUAAAAUCCGAGAUGCCAUCGCCCCCGUUAAGAAAUCCAUUAACCAGCUCAUUCGAUCCCAGGGGAGGUCGGUCUGGUGGCUGGCGUACAUUGCUGUGGUAACAUCUUGGCCCUUGCUCGGUGCCAUAGGUUUUUUCUUGUAUAGGAAGAAGUUCAGGAAUUCUUCGCCAGCCAAGCGGUUGUUAAGAGGCUAA